This is a long non-coding RNA of Sinocyclocheilus anshuiensis, 228 nucleotides long. RefSeq lists it as uncharacterized. NCBI's taxonomy places the organism in Eukaryota, Metazoa, Chordata, Actinopteri, Cypriniformes, Cyprinidae. The transcript is spliced from 3 exons. The record is from RefSeq and is a predicted model, not a curated record.
CAUUCACUCACCUGAUUGGCUGCUGCAAGGUUCAGAGGUGUGGCCUGGAUACAUUAGGUGCACUCAGUGUAUAUGAAGAAAACCUGGAUUUAAGGAAGGACAUAUUUGGUGUCCUCUUGGACCUUUUACAGAGUCCAGAUUCCCAUGCCACAGUCUUGAAGAAAACAUUUCAGGCCGUUAAGAGGUGGAUUGUGUGUUCGCCUUUCCCUGAUCUCCUGCAGUUUAUCA